RNAcentral lists this transfer RNA (70 nucleotides) under Muribaculaceae bacterium. RNAcentral's name for it is "tRNA-OTHER". It matches the Rfam family "tRNA". Rfam says of the family: Transfer RNA (tRNA) molecules are approximately 80 nucleotides in length. Lineage: Bacteria; Pseudomonadati; Bacteroidota; Bacteroidia; Bacteroidales; Muribaculaceae. The record is from RNAcentral.
GCCGAGAUAGUUUAGCGGAGAGAACACCGCCAGAGGGCGGUAGGCGCAGGUUCGAAUCCUGCUCUCGGCA